AACGCACAUGGCACUCGCUACCUCGGUGGCGAGUAUACCUGUUUGAGAAUCGGCUCCAAUCUACCAUCCCCGGAUGGUGACGUGACAGCUCUUGGCCCCCCGGGGCCAAGUCCGUCCAAAUCGAGCGUGUGGGGCUGGCUGGACUGUGCGUCCGCGCCGUGUGGUACUGGACCCUGCGUCCUUGCGAUCACGGAUGCAACGUGGACGGGCAGAGCGGCCGGCACCGAAACCCGCACGACCACCGGGAGUCUCCUCCCGGUCAUACGGACCUCGGGCCGUGACUUUCGAUCUCAAAUCAGGCAAGGCUACCCGCUGAACUUAA
Molecule: unclassified non-coding RNA, 322 nt
Filed under: uncultured fungus
Lineage: Eukaryota; Fungi
Description: sequence contains ITS2
Source: RNAcentral